AAGCUGUUAGCACAGAGACUGACCCGGGGCUCAAACCCAUGAACCGCAAGAUCAUGACCUGAGCUGAAGUCCGGCUCUCAACGGACUGAACUGCCUAGGCGCCCCCCUCCUAACUGGGUUUUAACUCACAAUCCAUCAAUUCUGGAUUCUUGGUCUCACUCAACUGGCUUCUGAUUGAGUUAUUCUCCAAGCAUAUCCAUGUCCUAAUUCCCGGAACCUGCGAACAUAUUCUUUUAUAUGGUACCAACGACUUUGCAGAUGUGAUUAAGUUAAGAUCCUGACGUGGGGAGGUUAUCCUGGAUUAUCUGGUUGGCCUGAUGUGACCACAAGGGUCCUUAAAGGGGGACACAGAAGAGUCAGAGAGGAAGGUGAUGUGAUGACAAAGCCAGAGAUGGGAAUGACAAGCUUUGGCGACGGAGGAAGGAGACACAGCCAACAAGCACAGGCAGCCACUAAAUGUUGAAAAUGACAAAAAAAAGGGGGGGGGGGGGAAGUGGGAUUCUUCCUCUUCCUCAGAGCCUCCAGAAGGAACCAGCCCUUCCAGCACCUGGACUUUACCUCUGAAAAGUGAAAUGGAUUUUGGACCUCGGACCUCUAGAACUACUAGAGAAUAAAGAUGCAUUGUUUUAAGUAACAAUGUGGUAAUUUGUUACAGUCCCAACAGGGAAUGAAUACAACUUCCAUCUGUGAGGGAACCUGACUUAGUAGAUCUCCUUGUGUUCUUGGAGAGGGUGAUGUAAUCUGAUUGGUAAAUUCCAGAAUAAUAAAUUGAGCAUGAAUGGCUUG
Lynx canadensis (Canada lynx) is the source of this 786-nucleotide long non-coding RNA. RefSeq lists it as uncharacterized. The record is from RefSeq and is a predicted model, not a curated record. The transcript has 2 exons. Lineage: Eukaryota; Metazoa; Chordata; Mammalia; Carnivora; Felidae.